CGCCUAACACAUGCAAGUCGAGCGGUAACAUGAUUUGUAGCAAUACAAAUUGAUGACGAGCGGCGGACGGGUGAGGAACACGUAGGAAUCUGCCCAGAAGCGGGGGACAACCAAGGGAAACUUUGGCUAAUACCGCGUAAUCUCGAAAGAGUAAAGCUGCCCGCAAGGGUGGCGCUUCUGGAGGAGCCUGCGUCCGAUUAGCUAGUUGGUGAGGUAAGAGCUCACCAAGGCGAUGAUCGGUAACUGGUCUGAGAGGACGACCAGUCACACUGGGACUGAGACACGGCCCAGACUCCUACGGGAGGCAGCAGUGGGGAAUAUUGGACAAUGGGGGCAACCCUGAUCCUUGCUAUGCCGCGUGGGUGAAGAAGGCCUUCGGGUUGUAAAGCCC
This 391-nucleotide ribosomal RNA is filed under the name uncultured organism. RNAcentral describes it as "bacterial SSU rRNA". It matches the Rfam family "Bacterial small subunit ribosomal RNA", at positions 45 to 433 of the family's 1533-position model. The record is from RNAcentral.